This 253-nucleotide ribosomal RNA is filed under the name uncultured bacterium. Its description in RNAcentral is "partial 16S ribosomal RNA". It matches the Rfam family "Bacterial small subunit ribosomal RNA", at positions 524 to 776 of the family's 1533-position model. The record is from RNAcentral.
UACGGGGGGGGUAAGCGUUGUUCGGAAUUACUGGGCGUAAAGGGCUCGUAGGCGGCCAACUAAGUCAGACGUGAAAUCCCUCAGCUUAACUGGGGAACUGCGUCUGAUACUGGAUGGCUUGGAUUCGGGAGAGGAAUGCGGAAUUCCAGGUGUAGCGGUGAAAUGCGUAGAUAUCUGGAGGAACACCUAUGGCGAAGGCAGCUCGCUGGGACGUUACUGACGCUGAGACGCGAAAGCGUGGGGAGCAAACAGG